Molecule: non-coding RNA, 207 nt
Filed under: Pseudomonas saudimassiliensis
Lineage: Bacteria; Pseudomonadati; Pseudomonadota; Gammaproteobacteria; Pseudomonadales; Pseudomonadaceae
Source: RNAcentral
CUGCACCCAAACGUCCAGGGUACCCACAGCGCCAAGCGCCUGAGGGUGAAACGGGAAGUCGGUGCAAACCCGACGCUGCCCCCGCAACGGUAAGGAAUCGCAGGCACCACGCCUGCAGGUAGGGUCAUUGCCACUGUGCGCAUGCAUGGGAAGGCGACACUAUCUGUAUUCCGAGCCCGGAGACCGGCCCUGGACGCCAGCCUGACA